Molecule: non-coding RNA, 2975 nt
Organism: Phasianus colchicus (ring-necked pheasant)
Lineage: Eukaryota; Metazoa; Chordata; Aves; Galliformes; Phasianidae
Source: RefSeq, a predicted model, not a curated record
AAGGGAAAAGAAGGAAAGGAAAGGAAGAAGGAGAGAGGGGAAGAGAGGCAGAAGGGAAGAAGAAAAGGGAAAAAGUCCAGAGCUUGGCCUGGGUGGUAUUGCAAUGUAGAAGGGCUUCAGGUAUCUUGUUAGGUGCACAAGAAGGAGUUCAUGCAGCAAUAAAUGAUAUUGUUGUGUUCAUGUAGGUCAGAGUGGUAGAAUUGAAGCAGAUGGAGAUAAGAUAUGGCACCAAAGUGAAAUACUGCACAACAUAAGACGAUGUGAGCUGAAACCAGCGUGACUUCCUGGCUUCCCAAAUUGCACUGGUUAAAGAAGUUAUUUGUGGGGAUGGUGUGUGUAAUUGCUCUUUAGUGGGAGAACAGCUUCGUUCCUCCUCAAUAACUUUGCAUGGGGACACAAAUGAAUACUUCUGCCUUCUGCCUCCAUGAUUGUGCCUCACGAGAAGCACCGGAGUCCCAGUAGAAUACUUUUAGCUUUUGCCUUUAAAACGCGCGAGGACAUUUUCCUCGGGUCCCACAUACACUGCUAGGAAAAAGUGGCUCACUAUGGCCUUAUCAGCCGCUCCGCUCGGCAGCCAGUAACGUCUGAGUGCGAAAACACAAUGCGCUGAUGGAACUGCAUGUUAAGCUCUGCAAAUUGCCACAGCGCUGCGUUCCUGCCAGGGCUGCUGUCUGUGUGCACAGGGAUAGGAUUAGGAAAGCCAAGGCACAGGUGGAGCUGAACUUGGUGUGGGAUGUGAAGAAUAACAAGAAGGGGUUCUACAGGUACACAGGCAGAAGACAGGCCAAGGAGAGCGUUCCCCCUCUGAUAAAUGAGGACAGAGAACUGGCUUCCUCAGACAUGGAAAAAGCUGAGCUGAGGUGCUCAAUAAGUGUCUUGCCUCGGUCUUCAUUGGUGGUCAGGCUCCUCCCCAUGCCUGCCAGGACCUGAAGAGAGGAAAGUGGGACUAAAGAAGGCUUCUCUGAGAGCUGCCGCUGCACAUGCAGAGAAAAGCAGGGUGGAGGGAACAUAUAUGGUGAGGUGCUCAGGUGAAAUUGCCCUCCUUGCACCAACAGCCCAUUUGUGUCCAUGUGAUGCACGGUGAAGAGAAGCCUGCUGUUCUUGACCACAACCAGUCCUAAGAAGACACUUUACAUCAUGUCGGACACCAGAGUGUCUGCGCUGACCAUGUCUGUGAUGAGUGAGGCUACCUCAGUCCCUCUCAAACUGCCAGGCAUCCAACCUUCCUCCUCCGCCAGCUCUCCUCCUAGCCCUGUCACCUUUGCCACCUCCCCAUGUUGUAUCGUGCCUUGGAGAUCUGUGGUACUGGGGCAGGCCUGAACUCCCCUCCCUGACAGCAGACACGUUUCUGAAAUCUCUGCUCAUUUCCUCAUCCUGCUGGCUCAUUCUGUAUUUACAGGAAGCAAUGGCUUGGAAAUGAUGGCAGUGUCACCCAGCAGCCCACACAGUGACCCGAUGUCUCAUUGCUUGCGUCUGUUAAAAACCACCACGAUGAGAAAAGAACGUUUGCAUGGAUUCUAUGCUGACUGUGUCAGUACAGCCCUUAGGAGUGGUGUGGACAUGGCAUGGAAGGGAGAAGGGAGUUCCCUUCUGAUGGGAAAGUCAGCUUGUGCUGGAAGUGGACGGUAUCAGAGUGUGAGUGAAGGUCAGUGCAGGAGCAGCUGUUGAUGGGAGUCCAGGCUAAUGAACUCUGGAGCAUCUCCCAGUACGGUACCGGAGGAGGCAGGAAUGAUGUUAAGGAGCUCCUCAGCAGGAAGGUGGCUCAUCCAAAUGCUUGCUGACAGUUUGAAAGCCCAGACCCUUCCAGCCUCCACCUCAGAGGCAACAUCUCCUUUGUCCGAUCAUGCAGCACCUGAGCAAGAGGGGAUUCUUUCCAAAAGGAGAUUUUGGGGAUUGAGGCAGUUGAAGAAAGAGUGAAGCCAGGGGGCAGUCCCUGUGGAGAGGACCCCAGGAACUGAGCUUCCCCACCACUGUCUCAAUGAGAAGACAGACGCAGUUCCCAUUCCUGCUCUGCAUAUGGAAAAGUAUGGCUGGAUUUAUUUGUUUGGGUUUUCUUCCUUUCUCUCAUUUUGAAGGGGAAAAGCUGGAGCAGGGGGAGCACUACUGGUCCUUUGUUACCUCCAUAACCAGUUGGAUUCUGCAUGUGCUGCAACAGGACAGCAUUGCCAGGCUCCUUAAGCUGCUGGGGCAGGGUGGGAGCAAAGAGCGUGAACUGCCCUCCUGCCAGCUGCACCUAGUUAUGGUUUGCCGGGUCCCUGCUGCCCUGAAUUUCACCUGAAAGGUUUGUUCUAGCUGCUUGCAGUAGUAAAAUUUAGGGAAGAAAUGGAAGUCAAGAGCUAAGGCUCUGCACAAUAACUUUGCGUGGAUUGAACUAUGGCACCUGAAGACUGUUUCCUGAAUAAUGCUGGCAUUUUGCAGGUGUGUUGGUUUAACCCACUGAACUGAUGUCUGUGAGCGCCCGUCUUCUCCACCUGAACAGUAAGAAAGCUGGGAUAUGCCCAGAAAUUGCAGCAGUUGCUGUGAAUACUCUCCCAAAUGUUUGUUUCCUUUAGUGGUAGCUAAUGACUCAGCACUGUGAUAUCCUGUCUCUGGCACGAUCUGGAACGCUGCAUCUCUUUGCAAAUGUUGGGUGCCCAUUUCCAUGGACCCUCCUUUCUUUCUCUCCUCAGAAGCAGCACAGUGCGGUUCCCUGCGUUAGGGAGCAGCAGCCAGCAGGCUGCCAGAAUGCCAGCUGGGCCUUGCAGCGUGCAAAGGGACAUGUUGGGGAUGGACCAUCCUUAGCACCACGCAAAAGUGAGUCUCUUCAGUCCUCUGUCAUGAAGUAUGGAAGAAUGCAUUUUAAGUAUUACUUCUGAGCGGGUGCAGGACUGUAGGGAUGUCAGGUAACCAUGGUGGAAGCAUUGGGGAGGCCGACAGCGGCAGCUGAUGGCAGCAGUGUGACAGAAGGCCGUGGUGGUGCUCAGAGCUGAGUGCAU